AACGAACGCUGGCGGCAGGCUUAACACAUGCAAGUCGAGCGCCCCGCAAGGGGAGCGGCAGACGGGUGAGUAACUCGUGGGAACUUACCUUUUGGUUCGUAACAACUCCGGGAAACUGGAGCUACUACCGGAUAAGCCCUCACGGGGAAAGAUUUAUCGCCGAAAGAGUGGCCCGCGUCUGAUUAGCUAAUUGGUGAGGUAACGGAUCACAAAGGCGACGAUCAGUAGCUGGGCUGAGAGGAUGAUCAGCCACACUGGGACUGAGAGACGGCCCAGACUCCUACGGGAGGGAGCAGUGGGGAAUAUGGGACAAUGGGCGAAAGCAUGAUCCAGCCAGGCCGCGUGAGUGAUGAAGGACUUAGGGUUGUAAAGCUCUGUUGUCAGGGAAGAUAAUGACUGUACCGGAAGAAUAAGCCCCGGCUAACUUCGUG
Molecule: ribosomal RNA, 431 nt
Filed under: uncultured bacterium
Lineage: Bacteria
Description: partial 16S ribosomal RNA
Rfam family: Bacterial small subunit ribosomal RNA
Source: RNAcentral